CGGGCCGUAGCGUAGUCUGGUAGCGCGCUUGCAUGGGGUGCAAGAGGUCGAGAGUUCGAAUCUCUCCGGCCCGACCA
Molecule: transfer RNA, 77 nt
Filed under: Opitutaceae bacterium
Lineage: Bacteria; Pseudomonadati; Verrucomicrobiota; Opitutia; Opitutales; Opitutaceae
Also listed under: 3 other names
Description: tRNA-Pro
Rfam family: tRNA
About the family: Transfer RNA (tRNA) molecules are approximately 80 nucleotides in length. Their secondary structure includes four short double-helical elements and three loops (D, anti-codon, and T loops).
Source: RNAcentral